RNAcentral lists this ribosomal RNA (705 nucleotides) under uncultured bacterium. RNAcentral's name for it is "bacterial SSU rRNA". It matches the Rfam family "Bacterial small subunit ribosomal RNA", at positions 619 to 1315 of the family's 1533-position model. The record is from RNAcentral.
ACCGGCAUUAGAAAAUUUUGCCUUUUAGUGUUGGAGAGGCAGAGGGACAUGCGGUUGUAGCGGUGAAAUGAGAAGAUAUACGGAUGAACAGCGGCGCCAAGGGGGGUAUGGUGGUUUGACACUGACAUAGAGGCGCGAAAGCGUGGGGAGCAACAAGGAUAAGAGAGCCUGGGUAGUCCACGCUGUCACCGCUGAGAGUUGGGUGUGGGGAGGUGUAGUGGCUUUCUGCCCCGACGUUAACGCGAUAAAGCACUAUAAGCUGGGGAGUACGGGCGCAAGGUUGACACUCAAAGGAAUUAACGGAGGCCCGCACAAGCGGCGGAGCAUGUGGUUUAAUUUGUCGCAACGGGAAAAACCUUACCUGGGCUUGACAUGGAGAGAAUCUCCUCGAAACAGGAGAGUGCCUCGUAAGAGGAGUUCUCACACAGGUGCUGCAUGGCUGUCGUCAGCUCGUGCCGUGAGGUGUUGGGAUAAGUCCCGCAACGAGCGCAACCCUCAUCUCUAGUUGCCAUCAUUAAGUUGGGCACUAUAGAGAAACUGCCGCAGUUAAUGCGGAGGAGGGUGGGGAGGACGUCAAGUCCUCAUGGCCCCUAUGUCCAGGGCUACACACCUGGUACAAUGGGCGGUACAAAGGGUCGGGAACCCGCAAGGGGGAGAUAAUCCACCCAAAACCGUCGUCACUUUGGAGUGAGCUGUGCAACUCGA